This 239-nucleotide long non-coding RNA is filed under the name Bos taurus (domestic cattle). Its description in RNAcentral is "long non-coding RNA NONBTAT007412". The record is from RNAcentral. Lineage: Eukaryota; Metazoa; Chordata; Mammalia; Artiodactyla; Bovidae.
UCUUUUGCUAUCCACAUGUUAAUAAAACCAGCAACAAGCAAACCCUCUGGUCUUGAUCACUCUUCAUUAUCACGAUUGACUAGAAUUUUAGAAGCAUUUUUAAUUCUCAAGAUGUGUUAGGCAUUCAGAUGAGCACUGGCUCAUAACUCACAGAUAAAAAAGAAAUUGGCUACACAAAAAGAAUACAUUGUGCAAAUAUAAAUGUUAAUAAAAAUGGACAAGAAGACCACUUCACCGUC